Molecule: ribosomal RNA, 497 nt
Filed under: uncultured bacterium
Lineage: Bacteria
Description: partial 16S ribosomal RNA
Rfam family: Bacterial small subunit ribosomal RNA
Source: RNAcentral
GAUGAACGCUGGCGGCGUGCCUAAUACAUGCAAGUCGAGCGAACGGACGAGAAGCUUGCUUCUCUGAUGUUAGCGGCGGACGGGUGAGUAACACGUGGAUAACCUACCUAUAAGACUGGGAUAACUUCGGGAAACCGGAGCUAAUACCGGAUAAUAUUUUGAACCGCAUGGUUCAAAAGUGAAAGACGGUCUUGCUGUCACUUAUAGAUGGAUCCGCGCUGCAUUAGCUAGUUGGUAAGGUAACGGCUUACCAAGGCAACGAUGCAUAGCCGACCUGAGAGGGGGAUCGGCCACACUGGAACGGAGACACGGUCCAGACUCCUACGGGAGGCAGCAGUAGGGAAUCUUCCGCAAUGGGCGAAAGCCUGACGGAGCAACGCCGCGUGAUUGAGGAAGGUCUUCGGAUCGUAAAACUCUGUUAUUAGGGAAGAACAUAUGUGUAAGUAACUGUGCACAUCUUGACGGUACCUAAUCAGAAAGCCACGGCUAACUACGUG